GACGAACGCUGGCGGCGUGCCUAAUACAUGCAAGUUGAGCGAUGAAGAUUGGUGCUUGCACCAAUUUGAAGAGCAGCGCACGGGUGAGUAACGCGUGGGGAAUCUGCCUUUGAGCGGGGGACAACAUUUGGAAACGAAUGCUAAUACCGCAUAACAACUUUAAACAUAAGUUUUAAGUUUGAAAGAUGCAAUUGCAUCACUCAAAGAUGAUCCCGCGUUGUAUUAGCUAGUUGGUGAGGUAAAGGCUCACCAAGGCGAUGAUACAUAGCCGACCUGAGAGGGUGAUCGGCCACAUUGGGACUGAGACACGGCCCAAACUCCUACGGGAGGCAGCAGUAGGGAAUCUUCGGCAAUGGACGAAAGUCUGACCGAGCAACGCCGCGUGAGUGAAGAAGGGUUUCGGAUCGUAAAGCUCUGUUGGUAGAGAAGAACGUUGGUGAGAGUGGAAAGCUCAUCAAGUGACGGUAACUACCCAGAAAGGGACGGCUAACUACGUG
RNAcentral lists this ribosomal RNA (497 nucleotides) under uncultured bacterium. RNAcentral's name for it is "partial 16S ribosomal RNA". It matches the Rfam family "Bacterial small subunit ribosomal RNA", at positions 28 to 507 of the family's 1533-position model. The record is from RNAcentral.